This 352-nucleotide unclassified non-coding RNA is filed under the name Hevea brasiliensis (rubber tree). The record is from RNAcentral. Lineage: Eukaryota; Viridiplantae; Streptophyta; Magnoliopsida; Malpighiales; Euphorbiaceae.
GAUGCUGGGGGAGUUUGUUGAUGAGUAUACGGUGCGGGUGGUCGAUGUGUUCGCUAUGCCGCAGAGCGGGACCGGGGUUAGCGUUGAGGCCGUGGAUCAUGUUUUCCAGACUAAUAUGCUCGAUAUGCUCAAGCAGACCGGAAGACCCGAAAUGGUGGUGGGAUGGUACCAUUCUCAUCCAGGAUUUGGAUGUUGGCUUUCUGGUGUUGACAUAAAUACACAACAAAGUUUUGAAGCCUUGAAUCCCAGGGCUGUUGCUGUUGUUGUGGAUCCCAUCCAGAGUGUCAAGGGGAAGGUGGUCAUCGAUGCCUUCCGUUUGAUCAACCCUCAAACUAUGAUGCUUGGCCAGGAG